AAAAAAAAAAUUAAAAAAAAAAAAAAAAAAAAAAAAAAAAAAAAAAAAAACACUAGAAAAGCUCUAAUAUUCGAGAAUCUCAUCGUAAAGCAAUAGUAUGAUUUACACAUUCACCCAAUACUCAGGGUUGUUAAAAUUGUGAACAUAUUUAAAUAAAUAUGAAUUUGGAUUGUAAUUAUAUCUAUUUUUAAGUGUAAUCCUUAACAUAUUUUAAAAACAAGGUGAUGUAAUUUACAUAACAUACCAGGAUCAUUAAUGUUUAAUAAUAAUUUGUUUCUCUAAUCCUCAAAUAGGACAUACCUCGGAAGCACAAGCAAUGCAAGGUACCAAAGAUGUCAAAACCAACUUGAAAUCCUGUGUGGUUUCAAAUGUUCGCAAUUCAUCAAUCAACGAGCUGCUACUUCAGUUGAUAGGAACUGCUUCCUAUCAAUAAAGAUUUAUGUUUGUUUAGAACUGAAACUCUCCUUUUCAAAUAACUCUUAACGAUAGAAAAGAUACCAACUCAAAUUUUAAGUUACCUUCGUGCAAGAAUUUCUCUGUUGAUCAAAUAAUGAGAGGCCUUAUCCAACACUGGGCAGAGACUUGACUACAAGUAACAUCAAUAGCAAUCUUGCAGUUUCCAGCUACAAAUUCAACUUGAGAUAUAAAAAGAUGCAGAUGCAUUAUAUUCUCACUUCCCAGGGAGGUCACUCCACAUCUGCCUAGCAAAGCAGCUCAUCUGUGCUAGUUGCUCACGAUUGGCUUGUAAAAUGCACCAUAUGCUACAAUCACAACAAACUUCUCUGUGCGGCUUGGGAUAGAUCAUAGUAAGUUUCUGUGUGAACGCUUCAACCUAAUAUGAAGGACAAAGAAAUCAAAAUGCAAACAUUAGAAAAUAUGCUUAAAAAACAAGUGAACAAUAGAUAUGAAGAAAACUCAAAUCCCAAGUCUCCAACGAAAUGAUUUUGUGAACUCAGACUAAACUUUCUUCAUAUCUAACAACAUAUUAGAUAUGAAGAAAGUUUAGUGAGUUGUAAUUUCCUGGCACUCUAUGUGAUUCUCCAAUCCAUUGUCUCUAGUUAACUGUGUCAUUUCGAACUAAUCCACCACUUUGUAAAGCUUGUUGAUAAAGUUCAUGCAACUUAAUUGAUGUAUUGAUCAGCAUAGCCAUUAUCGUCCCAAGCAUACUAAUUCAGGUAUUUAACCAAUCCUACCAAAGAACUAACAUAAUUGAUGAGAAACCCAAUUACGAAAAUGAUUAUGCAAUAUCAUUCAUGCAAUCUUUACUAUUUCAAUAUUGAUAACCAAUAAAUAUUCCUCCAUUUAAAUUGAAAAUUAAAUUAAAUGAUAAAAUAAGGGCAAAAUCAAGGAGUUCACAUGCAGCACUUGAUGUUGAGAUCGUGUUUUGGGGAGUUUGAGCUAAAGAUUGAUAAGGACAGAGACAAGACCUACAUACCGCCGCAUAAUCAUCAACACUAGGAGGAAUCUACCCAGCUAACUGCUGCUUCUUUCUUGAUAUUAUUCCUUUCCAUUAUUACUCUUAUUUCUGAUGCAUUUUCCCAUUGUCCCAUAUCGGCAUACAUGUUGUAUAACAAGACAUAUGGAACUGAGCUAUCUGGUUCGAGUUUCAUUAAUGCUUCAGCAGCAAUACGGGCAAUCUCUGCAUUGUUAUGGACCCUAGAAGCACCCAAUAAUGCACCCCAAACAGCCUUAUCUGGCUUAAAUGGCAUGCCAUUGAUCAAAUCCAAGGCCUCUUCAAGCUGUCCAUGCCGACCCACAAUGUCAACUAGGGAAGAGAAGUGUUCAAUCCUUGGCUCGAUGCCAUAUUCACUAACCAUGGAUUUAAAUAUCCCUCGACCUUCUUCAACCAGUCCAGCAUAAGCACAGGCAUUCAGAGCAGAAAUAAAUGUUAUAUAAGUAGGCUGCACUUUGGAAAUUCUCAUUAAUUUGAAAAGUUCCAAGGCCUCUGCAGCAUAACCAUGGGAUGCAUAUCCUCCAAUCAUUGCAUUCCAAGAAAUUACUUCUUUAUGCGGUUUCAUUUCAUCAAAAAUGGUCCAUGCCUCAAUUAUUGCCCCACAUCUUGAGUACAUCGUGAUGAGGGCAUUAUUCAAUGGCACAUCUGGGAUAACUGUCUUUCUGACCAGCUGAUGAAUCUGCAUACCCAAGUGCAGAUCCACAAUUCCAGAAGAUGCACUGAGAAGCGAAGAUAAUGUGUGUCGGUCAGGUUUCUCUCCUUCAACUUGCAUCCGAAAGAAGACCUUAAUUGCUCCUUUAUAAUCCUCCUUCUUCUCAUGCCCCGCAAUCAUGGAAUUCCACGACACCAAAUUCUUCUGGGGCAUCCUCUCAAAAAACUCAUGAGCAAGUUCCAAAUUACCUACCAGGGCAUGUCCUGAUAUCAUUGAAUUCCAUGAAAAGGAAUCAGGAUUUGGCAUUUUGCAAAAGAGGUUUGACGCCUCCUCCAUAUCUGAGACAUGAACAUAUCCACUAAUGAUGGUAUUCCAUGAAAAAGUGUCUAGUACAAUCAUUUGGUCAAAGAGUUCCCUAGCAGAAACAAUAUCUCCAGCCUUCACAUAGCACAUUAUCAUGGUAUUCCAUGACACCACAUUUCUCUCAAACCUCCCUUUACUUCCUUUUUGUUUGUCAUUAUUACUUGGCAUCUUAUCAAAAAGUUUCCGAGCUUCAUCCACCCUUCCUCUUUGACCAUAUCCCGCAAUCAAAGUAUUAUAAGCAUGCACCAACUCCUCUUUCCCACUAUUAUUAUUUCCAUAGUCAAGCAAAAUUUUUGCAGCUUCCUCAAGCUUCUCAUUAUGAAUAAGACCCGAUACAAGUGCACUCAACGAUGUUGAAUCCCUCUCUGGCAUUCUCUCAAAAAACUCAAUUGCACGCGCCACAUCACCAUUUUGCAAAAAACCAGAAACUAUAGCAUUCCAAGAAACAGCAUUUGGCUUAGGCAUUGUAUUAAAAAGCUGCAGAGCCUCCUCUAUUCUCCCAUUCCUUGCAUACCCACUAAUCAUUGUGUUCCAAGAAACGCAGUCCCUCUUUGGCAUUUUAUCAAACAAGCACCUUCCCUCCUCUAUAAACCUCUUCCCACGACAUGACACAUACCCCGAAAUCAUCAAAUUCCACGACACAACAUCCCUCUUUGGCAUUUCAUCAAAAAGCUUUCUUGCUUUAGUCAUCUCACCCUGUCUCGCAUACCCACUGAUCAUUGAGUUCCAUGAGAUGGUGUUUCUUUGCUCCAUUUUAUCAAACAAUGCCCUUGCAUCAUUAAUCUGACCUGUCUGGUUGAAACGCGUGAUUUUUUUAUUCAGGGAAAACAAGUCUCUGUCGCAAUCAUUAAAUGAACUCUUUGAUUUUGGAGCCGAUGCAAAACAGCUAGCUUCUAUGCUGAUGUAUGGCUUCCGUCUAGUCUGAAGCUUCCAUUUGCAUGAUGCGCCAAGGGCAAUUCUCAACCUGAGCAUAAUUUACAGAACAAGUUUACUGAACCUCUAAGAUUCAUUCAGCAACUGAUGAAUUAAACAAUCAAACUUUUUAUCAGAAAGUUAUUCAUUUUCUUAAUAUAUUUAGUUUUGCUCAGGUCACAUCACACGCUUGUCACACUCUUAACUUCUGAAACCAACAAAAAGAAUUAGGCGGUUUCAAAAAACGGUCAUCUAAUGGAACCUGCCAUAUUUGUCAAGCUAACUAAGAGUUUUCUUCACCUGUUCAACCUAUAAAAAUUUUUAAAACAAUUAUAAUCUACUAAAAAAAUAUUUUUUUUUUUAUAAAACUAAUAAUUGGCUAUAAAUAAAGGACAAUAUAAUUACCAAACCAGAAAUUACUAAUGCCACAGCUAGAUAUGUUAUUGACUUUUGAUUUGACAAUACUAUCUUAUAUGUAAGACGAUACUAUCCUUAUAUGUAAUAUUCUAAAUUUAUCAUUUUAUACUCUUAAAACUAUUCUUAUUAACUUCAAAUCUAUUCAUCUAUUUUUAUAUCAAUUCCAUACACAAUUUUUUCAUAUAGCCGACCCCCACUAGUUUGGACCUAAGGCUUGGUGGUGGUGGUUGUUUUUCCAUAUACAAUUUUUUCAAGAGAGAAAUAUUAACUUUGACAAACAUAUAAUAGCUAAACCUAAUACUUGUUUCAUCCUAUUAAUUAAUAAUGAAAAUUCGAAAAUCAGGACAACAAAAUUUAAAUGCAGAAAUAAAUAAAUAAAUAAAUAAAAUGAAAUUCUCAAGAAUACAUAUCAAACUAAAAAAUUUAAUUGUCUUCUUUAAUAAAAUAAUAAAAAAUGAACAUUAUUUUUCCCCAUUAAAUUUAUUCUUCUAAAUCCCUGAAAAUGUUAUUUUCCAGUUAACUCUGGUACCUGUUUAUAAAAUUAAAAAACAUUUCACAUGAACUAUAUAUUUUAGCUGCUUUUAAAAAUUUCACAUGACUAUACCAAAAUUUCCCUAAUCUCAGUUCCUUUGCAACCAAAACAUUUUUCCAUUCCUAUGGUUUGUUUAUUAACUGAACUAGCCAGUAUCUUACUGGUAGAUAAUUUGAUUUGGUAUAAUUUACUCAAAAAUCAAGUUGAAAAAAAAAAGCAGAACAUAUAUCCUCUCUUAUAAAAUGCUUACCGUGAGGAAAAUGAUAAAAUUACAGUCACGCAAAGAAGGCAAUACCAAAUAUGGAUUUUCUUUCUUUUCUUGCAUGUUCCCAAACAACUAAAGUGAUCUCUAGCCAUAUUUUCUCAGCCACCAAAAAAUUAGAAAAUAUAAUUACAGAAUUCUUAAUAUGCAAUUCGCAAAGUAAAACAAAUUAAAGAAGAGCUAAAAAAUGAAAAAGAAGGAUUGCUCACAUAGAUGUUGACAGUGAACUAAGUCGCUGCAGGACUGCACCUGCCAACAUAUUGAAUGGUGGUCAAAGACCGCUUUUGCUUCCUCCCAUUUUGAUUACUGCACAAAAAAUACCGGCAUAAAGGCUGUCAAGUAAAAGAGAUUCUCUAGAUUUCUGUCUCAGAUUCUAUAUCAAACAUGAAAAUAGAAAUUUGAGGCAAACGACAAUCAAUUUAUCUAAGAAAAGAUGAGUAAACAAAAAGUUAAAGUGAAAUGUGUCCAAUAAUGAACCUGAAUUCACAAAAUCAAAAAUAAUUGUUGCCUUCUUCCCUUCUAACUCUUCAAAAUUUCAGCUCUUUCAUUCAAAAUCUUCCCAAUCUCUUGCUAAUUCUGGAUAUUCAUGGAGUCUGGAAUCAAACGGUUAACAGAGAGGGUAGUUUCAUUUUUAUUUCAUCAAAAUUUGAUGAAAUGGAACAAAACUUGGGAUUUGGUUUGGGAAAUCACAAGGAAGUGUUGAAUUGAGAAGAAAAUAUUUAGAACUUUGAGAAGAGGACUUGGGUUGGUUUUUUGCUUAGUGACAUAAACAGGUUAGGAGGAAUGUGGCCUUUUUUUCACUCUUUUUUUGAAUGAAUUUCAAUGUUUAAGAGUAAAAGGUCAUAAAAAAAUUUAAUAAUAGUUGGACUUGUGCGGAGCUCGCCCGCAUGCAAGGUCCAACUUUAAAUAAAUAAUUAGUCAUUUAUCAGCAUAUUGUGGAUGGCAACGGGUCAGGUACACAAAAAGUGUCGUAUCCCAAUCCAAACUCACUUAAAUAUAAGGUACCUGAAUCCAUUUAAAAAAUUACCCCUGCAUUACCCAUAUUCGUCCCAAAUUGAAUUAGCAUUACCCAUUUGCAAUCCGGAUUCAUAGAAACAACCGUUUAACACAAAAUGAACAAAAUGCAUACAACACACAAUACACUAAACUGUAUAAACACUUGAUUAUUAUCGAACCCUUAUAAAAUAAAGAAAAUAGCAUGCUGUUAUUUUUACCACUCCAAUUGUCAGAAAUUGUAUGUAAUUACAUAGUUUUUACAAUUCAAAGAAACUUCAAGAAUCUACUAACUUAAUUAUAUAAUGGAGAGCAAGAAUGAAUACAUUUAAACUCCAGGUCUACGAAUAUGUGGCCUGUAAGUAUUUGGUCAAUAUAGUUUCUUGAAUCCCUGGACAAAAGAGACAGCUUAUUUGAUGAAAGUAAAAAUUAUUUAACUGCUGAAAAAGAAGAAUGCAUAAUGCAAUAAUGCAAUGUAUAGAGAAUGUAUAAUACAGUGUUGAUAUAUGGUUGUUAUUAGUUGUGUUUUCCAAUGCUUAUUUGUAGCAGUUCAUAUUAGUGAAGGUCUCACUGAUUACCUAAAUAAACCAAAUGAAAUAUAGGCAAUUUGAAUUAAUUAGUAAUCUUUAUUUCCUUGUGUAUGAGCUAAUGGAAAAUUUCUACAAAGGAGAGAGGGAGAAUAUGAAGAAUCAAUGUUAGAUUGUUGUUCCAGGAUUAGAUUUCAUUCCCAUCUGAACUUUGGCAGUCUUACAAAUCAGUUUCUAAUUUUGUGAAACUUAUGAAAAUUGUUCUGCAUGCCUACUGUAUAAAGUUUAUGCAUCUUUUGUCAGUUCAACUAAAGAAAAUAACACAUGCUGAUUUUACUUUAAAUAUUAAAUAGUAGCAUUUUUACGGAAAAGCCUUACCCUACAACCUACUGAGGAUGAUUUUGAUCAGAAGAUACAUAUUUAUUGAUCAAUCGUUUAGGUUUUUCAAUGAAAUUUUUGAAAUGCAUUUAGAAUUAAAUGCUUAACAGAAUCAUUUAGAUCUUUAGAAGUUAAGGAUUUUAAUCAACUUGCUUCAAUUUCACUCAUUUAUGUAUAAUUUUCUUGGUGUCUUUGCAAUUACAGAUACCAUCCAACACUUAAGUACAAAGAAUUCUGUACACUGGGAUGAUUCUAUUGUCAUUAAACUUGUUUUGACCGGCAUUUUAAGGAACUGAUUUUUCUAAACAAGAUUUACAAUCAGCAACAAAGAUAAAAAGAAACAAAAGAAAAGAAAUAAAAACUGCAGAAACAGGACAAGACAAAACCAGCAAAAAGAACAAAAGGAAACCAAAAACCAAAAAGAACUAAAGCGGCAAAACCAAACCAAAGAAUAAAAUAAGGCCCAAAGCAGCAGUAACAGUUUAAAAAAAAAAAAAAAAAAAAAAGAAAAAAGAAAAAAAGAGCAUAAGAAACCAAUUAACUUAGUCUAUCAUAUCAACGGCUAUUUACAUUCACAAAAUCAAACCACAUACUCAAUUUACAGUAAAGUGAAGAAAACAAAAAACGAAAUUAUUGACAGAGCUUUAACUUUAACAGUAACAAAAAUACCUUGCGAUUUGCGAGCCACAGAGCUAGUCUUGAACGAGACACAGAGCUUGUCGGCGGAGAUCGCCGCUCUUGAGGCGCGCUCGUCACUCGUCGGAUAAAAGGCAACAGGCAAAUCGAAGAUGAGAGACUAAGGCAACAAGAGAAAAAAUCAGAUCGAGGCAAAACUACUGCCUCGCGAAGAACGAAUUGAACUUUGAUUUAAAAAGUUAAUUCAAAACGACGUGGUUUGGUUAAGGCAUUUUCUGUGUCAAAACUUCGUCGUUCUGGUAGUGAAGUGUUAGUUAUUUUCUUCCUUUCUUUUUCUGGCCUAAUACAGAGAGAUAAUUAAAAUUUUAUGUAAUUCAGUUAUAAAUUUAAUUUUUAUAUCUGAUAUGCAAAAACUAAAAAUUUAAAUUUUGUGAAUUUAAUUCUAUAAUAUAAUUAAAUUAAAUUUCAUAAAAAAGUGAAAUUUUAGAAUGAAUUUCAUAAAUUUAAACAAUAUAUUUUCGCAGAUAAUAGUAGAUAAGUUCUUGAUGGGCUUAAAUCUAUGUUUCUGUAUUUUACACAACCAGCAAUUGAACAGAAAAAAAAAACAUUCGACCAUAAAAUGACAAGCAUCUAUUCCAAUCAAAAUUAUUAGUGAUCCAAGUUAUCAAAUGGGCCUCAAAUAUACACAAAGCCCAAACACAACAGAUACACACUCAUCAUCCUUAUAUUUAUUCAUCAAGUGGGCCCAAGCCAGCAGGAGGCGGUUACCAAAUGUACAAAGUUAAAUAUAUAGAGUAGAUACAACAGCUGCUAGCAUCUGCUUCUUGAAUGUUUUCACUGUAUUGAACUAUUCUACAAUACAAUUUUUGUCUCCAUUAAUACACUGUUUCAGUUUUCUCUUUCUCUGGUGAAGAAUGCUUUGAUAAUCUCAUCAGUUAGCAAACCUCAAUAAUCUUUUUUGUUGUUAAAAUUUUGAUUAACAGCCUAGCCUGAUAUGGUGGUGACAAUUCUAAAUGAAAACAUAACCAAUAAUUAAAAAAAAAAAAAAAAGAAAUAAAAAUACCUAUGCUUUUAUUGUGUUUCAGCCAUUCAUUUUGUUAAGAUUUGAUGGGAGGUUUAAAUUGAUAUAAUCUUAAAUUCAUAUAUUGAAUUGAAAAAAUUACGAAAUCAAAUCGAAGAAAAAGUAAACUUUCUUUUUAUUUGAUGCAAAUUGAAUUGCUUAGCGUGACUAAUAAACUACAGGCCCAUUUUGGCCCAUUCUCCAAAUUUUGGGCCCUCAUACUGGGCCUAAACGCACUCGUACUUUUACCCAAUUCCUCUUUGGCAAAAACCCAUAACUAUAAAUUUCCAUCUAUCUCUGGUAGGAAAAAGAUAAAAUUCCAACUAGUCCAUGAGGUUCAGCCAACUGUACAGUUUCAUCCCAAUAUUUAAAAAUAAAAGGAAUUAAGGAGUCCCAAAAUUUAAUUCCAUUAAUGAAAUAAUAUUUUUAUUUCCAUAGACCUGGUUUAGGUAGGUCUAAACCUUAUUAUAAUUAAUAUUAAUUAACCAAUAGUCAAUAAAUAUUUUUUUGAAAAAUAUAAUUCAUUAACUAUAAUAUCAAACAUUACGAAUAAUCAUAUAGAUCAGACAAUGAAUUUUACUAUCAUAAGCUAAUAGAGUUCGUUGAUCUUUUAACAAGCUAAAAUAAUUAUAUAUAUUCUUUUGAAUGAUAAUACUAAAUAUAAGAAAAUAUAAUAUUAUAUCUUUCCACUUGAAGAUGAUCUUGAUAAAAGAUAUAAAUAUUCUUAUUACCAACUAGUUUUUUAAUUGAUUUGGAUAGUAAAAUAAUAAUUACUUUGGAUCUUUUAUAUCUGAAUUGUUUUUAGCUAAAUUGUUUUUUCAAGGACUUGUAAUAUAUAACAUACACAUAUGAAUUCUCGCCAACAUACAUCAAUAGUAUCAAUAGAGGAACAAGUCGCACUAUUAGACUUCGUUGAUCAAAGAUUCACAUUUACAAAUCAAUAUCAAAAGUUUCCAACCAAAUAAAAUCAAAUAUUAUACUUUUAUUUAUAAUAAACUCUCAUACAGAAGGAACAAAAAGCUCUAAAUACGGAAACAAAAUAACAAUAAUAAAAAUCAAAACAAAUAUAUUAUAUGAUAAAUAGAUAUGAAUUUAUUAAAAUGGCUAAGAGAAUUUAAAAGAGAAAAAGAGAAGAAGUUGAAUCAAAGGAAAAAAAUAGAAUGUAGGAGAUUAUCACUAAUCAACAUCAAGCGGCCACAAACUAAAUUUUUAAACAUUUUAUAAAUUUCAAUCAAUGACUUCGUUAUUUUAGGUGUCUCGUCAUGCCGAAGAGAUAAUAAAAAAUCAAAAUUCGAAAGACUCAAGAAAGAUCAUCUUUUCACCAUUCAUAUUUAAAUAUAAUAUAUAUAACGGCAGAGCUUCUUAUGGUCGAAAGGUCGCUGGGCAAUUCUAAGAAAUUUUUUUUAAAAGAAAAAUUCUUAUGAAAUAUUAUAUUUUGGUCUUUAAAAAUAUAAAAAAAUUAUAUUUUGAUACCCUAAAAGUUUUUAAAACUUCAUUUAGCUUGUUUAAAGUAAUUGUCUUAGUUCUGUGCUGAAUAUAUAUAUAUAUAUAUAUAUAUAUAUAUAUAUAUUAAAUAUUCUAUGUAUUAUCCCUAUCACAUUUGCAUUGAUAACCAGGACAAGAAGCUUGUAGCCAAAUGUUAGAGUACUGACAACUAAUUCCCACUGUGAAAUGUUUUAUUAGCCUCUGAUCAUCAAUGAUUAAGUGGCCCACUUGUUUUAAUUUGUCCAGAACUUAUGGAAUAAUUAAUCAAGUAUUAAUAAUUAUUUUUGGAAGCGAACAUUCUAGAUAUACCUUUUUUCUCUUGUUCAGCUACUGCAACAUUUUUGUUGGAGAAUCAAGAACUUAUGGCUUAAAAUAUUCGCAUAUACUAUAUUAAGUACUCCCAUCUUCAAAAUAGUUCAUUUUCUAUUUUUACACAGAUUAAAAAAAUAAUAAUUAUUAUGAGUUUUGACAAUUCUAUUCCUAUAACUUUUCUAUCAUACCAUUUUAAAUAACAUAUGAGCAAUUAUUAUAUUUAAAUAAUAAGUAAAAAUUAAUGAGGGUUAUUGAAAAUAAGAAAAAAUUUAAUAAGGGUAUAAUAGACAAUUUCAUGAUUAACUAUAAUACAAAAAAGAAAAAUAAACCAUAUUUUAGGACAAAUUAAAAAGAAAAGAUGAAAUAUUUUUUUGAGGCAGAUCUAUUAUUCUUCUCACAAUAAUGAUUUUAUAAGUACAGUUUUUUUUUUUCUUUAUACUCAAAUGAUAUGAGAAGCUAAUUUUAUAAAAAACGAAGAUUAAUUUGUCUUUGAAUUUGUUUAAUAGGAUAAAAAAUGUCAAGAUUUGAUCUUUUUAGAUCAAUUUAACAUCUAAACUUAUUUAAAAUAAUUAAAAAGAUCAGAUUUAAUAUUUUGGAUUAAUUUAGUCCCUGACUAUUCGCUGUAUUUAUAACGUGAGAAUUCUUAUAUAGACAUUUAUUAAAAUUAUAGUUGGAAUCACGUGGUAUAAUUUAUUGAAAAAUUUAAUUAAAUAUCAAAUUGAGGAAAUAAUAUAUGAAAUAUAUUAUAUCCCUCUUUAUCUUGAUCUAUCAUUUUAAAUUCAUAAAUAUGUACUAAUUUAAAUAUUUUAAAAUUGAACUUUACUACUAGAUUAUUGCAUAUGCAGUUCAUGCAUUUCUCAUGUUAAACGAAUUCAAAGUUACACUACAUAUUUUAUAAAUUUACUGUGUUAAAGAAAUAAUAUUUUCGUGAUUUUAAAAUUCUAUUCAGAAGUAUUGGAAAAGUUUGAUCUAGAUAUUCCUAUUAAAUUGAAUCAAUUUAUUAUUUUGUAAAAAUCAAAAUAAAUUUAGUGGCUGAAUUGAUUUAAAAAAAAUCAAAUCUGACUUUUAAAUCCCAUAAAUAAGUUCGUGAGCUAAAUUAGUCUUUAUUCCAUUUUAUAACCACAAAGUCGUGUUUAAAAUUUUAAACAAUAUGGUUCUUAUGUUGCCUGUAACGGUUUCGUAUGCUCUAGUAGCUUUCUCUCUUUUGUCCAAGGUUUCUUGUCCUGCCAACAUGGAGAGGGACUUUAAUCAUUUGUCAAUCGCUGAUGAUGAGGAAGAAGGCUUGCCUGUUAACGCAUCUUCAGAUGCCACCAAGUCUACCUACGAAUUUUGUCUUGUCGACAUGUUCUUGACUUGCGGGACUGUGAAUUUUUAGUCCAUGCGAAACACUUUCGCAGAUUUGUGGCAUUCGCUCGGAGGGAUUAUAAUUACUGAUUUGGGAGCCAAACGUUUUCUGUUUCGGUUCUACAACAAAGUGGAUUUGGAUAGGGUUUUGAAUGGUGCCCCAUGGACUUUUAAUCGACACUUGCUGGUAUGGGGUCUGAUAAAAAAUGAUGAGGACCCGCUGCUGAUUCCUUUGCUAUACUCGGAUUUCUGGGUUCAGGUACAUAACUUGCCGGUCGGGUUAAUGUCUGCGGCAGUGGCCAAAUCAAUAGGGAAUUUCAUUGGUACUUUCAUUGAAUAUGACAUUAAGACUGUUCAUUUUGAUCCCAAUCAAUUUAUGAGACUGCAGGUUAAGUUGGAUAUUCGUACCUUUACGUAGAGGAAAGAAGUUGAUUGAUUCUAAUGGUAAUGUUCAUUAUGUCCAAUUCCAGAAUGAAAAACUUCUUGUGUUUUGCUAUACUUGCGGUCGCUUGGGACACACCGAUUCGUUCUGUAAAUUACAAUUGCACAAGUCUAAAAAAGAACUCAAGCCAGCUUGGGAUGAUCGAAUAAGGGUGCCGAUUCGCCGGAAAAUUCAGCAAACAACCAUGGCUGCAUGAUGAUAGAAAGUUUGAUGAUACUCCAAUCCAGGCAGAUAUUUCGGGAUGUGUGGGCGGGAAAUAUGGAGUUUUGAAAUCCCAACAAUUUUGAGCUUCCUUUUAUGGCACGAUAGUUAAUUUUAAUGUUAGUACUAAUCCCAUAGGCUUUAUGGAGACUGAUACAAAUUCUUUGAAUGGGUCCAAUACUGAUGGGCUUGACGAGGAUGUGGUCUUAGAAGAUGUGGGUGAAAUGAAGAAGAGGCCCCGAUGAUCCUUUUUGGUGAGGGUAUUAAAGUGGCUAGUGAUCCUUGAGGAGGAUCCUUUUUGCUGUAGAAUCAACGUGGUAGCUCUACUGUGGAUAUUGCCGUGAAGUACCUAUCGAAUUGGAGAGAAGUGUGUCUGCCACAUGAAGCUGCUGUGACGUCCAUUUCAGUGCUUCAUUGACAUGCACAUAAAGCACCAUCCAUUCACGCUCACAAUUUUGUUUGGAUUUGCUUCAUUGAUGGAUCAGUGUUCACAACCAUGGAUUUCAUUGGCUAUGCUUAUGUUAUUGAGGACAGUGAGGGACGGUUUCAACGUGCAGUGUCAGGGUUUCAGGAAGGCAAUGGCUCGGCGGUGGUGAUGGAGGCUAUAGCUCUUCGUUCCUGCCUUUCAUAUGCUCGUGAUUUUCUAUCUUUAAAUGGGUGUAUUUUUUCAAAUUGCCAAAAUCUUAUGAAUGCUCUCAAAUCCCAUUGUUUUAGAUAAUUUUGAAUUUGGUUUGAUUGUUCUUGAUUGUAAGCGAAUUUUAGAGUCUAGACAUGAUAUUACUGUCAGGUGGAUUCAGAGACAAGCUAAUAUGGAUGCUCACACUCUUGCUAGAGCAUCUAUACAUCAUGCUCGUUUCCAAAUUUGGGAUGAUGUUCGUCUUGUUAGUUAGAUUUUUUCCAUUGAGAUAAUGCAAUAUUAUUUCAUUUAAAACAAAUUUAAAACAAUAUAUAAAUUUUAUCAAACAAAUUUAAAUUAAUAACUCUAAAAAAUUUUAAUUUUUAGAUAUUAAAUGGUGUUAUUAGAUGUAAACUAAAUUUAUAUUGUUAUUUCAAUUUAAAUGUCUAAACAAAAUUCUCAAAUUCUUUUUUUGUUAAUAUUUUUUUGGAGAAAUAUAAUUCAUUAAUAAUAAAAGUAUUACAAAUACUCAAUUAGAUCAAAUAUAAAACUUAUUAUCAUAAUUAAUAAAAAGUUCGAUGAUCCUUCAACAAUAAAAGAAUUAUCUAUAUUUUUUUGAAUAGUAAAACUAAAAUUAAAAGAAACAGUUGGAGUUUUCCGCUUGAAAAAAACUUUGAUCGAUAUAAAUCUUCAUAGUAACAACUGAUCCUUUAAUUGAUUUGGACGAUAAAAUAACUUUUUCGAACUUUAUAUGCUUGGAUUGCUUUUUCAAAAAUUUGUUGCAUAUAACAUAUGCGGAUGAGUUUAAACCACUAUGGGUUAAUAGCAUGAAUGAAGGAACAGACUGUACUAUCAGGUUCCAUUGGUUGAAGAUACACAUCAGUAAAACAAGAUCGAAAUUCUCCAAUCAAAUAAAAUCAAAUGUCAUACCUUUUAAUAAUAAAUCUUCACAAGGAACUAAACCCUCUCAAAAGAAUGGGCAAAAAAACUCCAAAUAUGGAGACAAAACAAAUCAAUAACAAAAACAACAAUAACAAAAAUAUAUCUAUUAGAAGAAAAUGGAUUUGAGUUUAUUAAAAACAAAUAAAAGAUUAGGAGCCAGAAGAAAAAAAAAAAAAGUAUGGGGCUACUACUGAUUAACAAUGGCAACCUCAAACAAAAACUAUGAUUAAAUAAAUCAGAGAGAAAAGAGGAGGAGAGAAACCCUAAAACUAUCGAUUUUUUUUUUGUUAAUAUUUAAAAUGACGGUUUUUUUUUUUUUUUUUUUUUUUUUUGCGAAUGUUAAACAAAUCCCUAAAUAGUAUAGGUAAUAAAAUAAAAAAAAAUAUGUAUCACUUUAAUAAUAAUUUCAUGUUAAAAAAUGUUGGAAAAAUAGAGCUCUUGAAUAGGAAAAUCCGGUAUCGAAUUUUUGCUCUGCUAGGGUUUAUCACUUUAACAUUUAAAAAAAAAAAAAAACUAUUUUCAAGACAGUUCAUUUUCUAUUAUUUCUUUUUAAUAUUGAAUAUUAAUUAAAUAACUUACUUUUAAAAAUAUUUUUCCUUGACUUUUUUAAACACUUUAAAUAUAGAAAAAAUUCAAAAAUAUUUUUUAAAUAAAUUAUUUUCAAGAAAAAAUCUUGGAUAAUGGAAAUUUGGAAAAUUAGAUAAAUAAUAAUAAAACCUUAUGCACAGCAAACAUUUGUUAUAUGGUGUCCCAAGAAUAGUAAAACUUGUGGCUGAAUUUUGUAUUUCUUUUUUAGAUCACUCUCUAUCACGCUCUUAACAAUUCCCAUUUGCUGAAGUGGUCCCCAUAAAAGUAUUCUUGAUUGAGAUUUGAAUACGAAUUUCAAUUAAGUAAGCUUCAAGUUACAAACAUCAUCUUCACAAAAUUUCCUUCAUUGGUGAAGCAUUUAUCAUUUGGUAAGUUUUCUCAGAUUUAACACUAUGUUUGGAAUUGGGAGAUUUUAUGAUAGGAAGAAAAUUUUGAAUGGAAAAUAAGAAAAGAAAGCUAUUUUCCUCCUGCUUAAAUGUAAAUAAAAUUUGAAAGGAAAGAAAAUAUUACCAAAAUCCUUUCUGUCCCAUAUUUUAUUAAUCUCUCCAAAUUGGCGAGAAAAUAGGAGAUAAAUGUAUAAAAGGAUAGAAGUGUAAAUUUACAACAAUACAAUUUUCUUUCCUCCAUAUUUUAGACUUUUCUAAAUAAUAUAUAUAUAUAUAUAUUUUUUAUUUUUUUUUUUCCUUUCAAUCUAAACAUAAAAUGGAAAAUAAAGAAAAAAAGAGCUCUUGUUUUACUCGGCACAUGUACAAAAUAUAAGACAUCAAUGUGUUGAACAUGCAAAUCCCAUGCAUGUAUCUGCCAUGCAGGGAUUCAUAAUUAGCUCAACUGAAAAAUUGUUAAGAUCUUUCUUCAUUGUCUUUUUGUCAUAUAAAAAAACACGAGAAAAAUAAAAUAAAACAAGAAAAGGAAGCGCAUGCACAUGCCUGUAAAUGUAUAAUAUACAUCCAUCCAAAUGGGCAAAGAUUAGAUGCCUUCUCACCAUUUUUCCGCGCAUCCAAAACCGUAAGGGGCCACUCACACUUGAUGUGCAGGAUACUUAAAUCAGUUACGCAGCCAGAAAAUUAAAAUUAGAGAUAAAAAAAUUUUCAAGAGUUAACAAGAGUGAGAUUAAAAAUUUUAUUAUUUUAAAAGGAAAAAUAAAAAAUUUUAUUAUUUUUUAUUAUUAGACUAAUUUUAAAAGGUAAAAUAAUAUAUUUUCAUAUAUUAUUAGACUAAUUUUAUUUUAAAAUUUAAUAUUAUUUCUUCUAAGUAUUUUUUUAUGAAUAGAAAUUUUAAUAGAGAAUUAGAGAUCAUCCACUGGAUUUAAAAGUUAAAAUAUAUUUAUAAAUUAUUUCAUCUAUUACACUUAAAUUAUCAACUUGUAGCUUCUUCAUACAAAAUAAGGAGAUAAUUAAUUUAUCUUAAAUCUAUAAAAUUUUCAUUUGAAAUUAUUUUAAUAUUUAUUUUAUAAAAUAUUAUUAAGAGCGAAUGAAUAGUGAGAUCCAAUAAAGAAGAGUAAAAAAUUAAAAAUGUAAUAUACUCUUUUCUAAAUUAUAUAAAAAAAUGACACUUAAAAUAGAACAAAAAAAAAUCUUAAAAGUUAAACAGAAUAUCGGAAGUAUAAAUAAUAGAUUUUAUUUUUUAUUUUUUAAAAAUCGAAUUAAUCAGAGCAAUACUAACAAAAUAAUAUUGUAAAGUUACUUAGGACAUCCCUUCCUCUUAUCUCUCCGUGUGGUCGCUUUCAUUGGCUUCAUAAUCAUACACAUAUUCAUGGCCCACUUACGAAGCCAUCUCACAACCACAAAAUAUAAUUUUCAAAAGAAAAAUGACCGUUCGGACAGCUUGUUAAGUUUUUCCACACUUCUUCCUCACUUUCCCACUCUCUAUAACGGCUACAAUAGAAGGCUCUGGAACAAUCUACCUGUUUUAAGACGGCGGGACACGUGUAACCAAUCACAUGGGCUGCUUUUGCUCGAAAAUGGAGAAGAAUAAGCUGUAGUGUUACUCUUAGAUGUGAAUUAUUUGCUUCAAAUGAUGCUUUAGUUGUUUCUAGUGAAAAUAGAGCAAUAGUAAUUUUUUUUUUUUACCAUUUAAUAUGAUGUACAAUGAAUUUUUUACACUAUGUACUAUUAUGCAGCAGUUACAACAUUUUAAAGUCCAUCAAAUAGUAUAAUCCAUUAGAAAAUCCAAUAAAUUUCUCAUUGCUCUUUUGAAUAAUAUUUACUAUAUUUGUGCAUAUUAAUUAUUAAAAAAAAUUUAUUUACACCCGGUGUUUGGAUCUAUUUAUACAUCAAAUCAAUCACAAAUAAUAUUUUGAUUUAAUCAAAUGUAUUUCUAAUCAUAUAUUAAAAAAAGAUAAAAUAAUAAUUUUUUUGAUUGGUUUACUGAAUGAGACUACCCAUAUACUAAGUGUUGAUAAAAAUUUCCUUAAUUAUUAUAGAAAAGUUAGAAAUAAUUCAAUCGCUUUUCCUUAACUUACUUUUUUGCACUUAAUGUAAUAAAAAAAACUUCAAAACUUUAAUAAUGUAAAAUGAUUCUUACUAAAUUGUAUAGUUAAGUCUAAUAGGAUUGUUGAGACUUUGGUUCUUAAUUUAUGAAAUUUCAAUUUUUAUCCUAAAAAAAAAAAAACAAAGUAACAGGAAAGCUCAUAUAAAUGAACAUGCAAGAGAAAAAAAAAUCAUUUUUUAACUAAAGUAAAUUAUUGCAUACUUCCCUCCUAGAUUACUCUGAAAAAUAAAAAAUAAAAUACACAAAAUUAAAAAUAUACGAGCUUUGUUAACAGAUACAUAUUACGUACAUUUACGAUUACAUUCUUAGCAUAAUAUCAAAAUUUUCAAAAACAUUACAGUUCUUUUAUUCUAUUUACAUUGUAAGUAUCUCUCUACACAGAUUAUGCCAAAAAUACUUUUUGAAUAUCAGUUAAUCAGAUUUAAAAUAGAAUCAGGUGCAGGUGAUAUUACUUAAAAAAAUAAUAUUUCACUGUGCCACGGCAUAUAAGAUAAAAGUGUAAUCGGCAUAUAAGAAGGCACAAAAUCAAGAGAGUUGACAUGAAUGGACUGCUGUUGGGAGUGUGAGUUGGACGGAUUUGAAAUAAAGAUAAGAGGAAAGGCAUAGGUGGGACCUGUUUACUGUGCCACAGCAUGAACCGUGAUGUUUUUUGCCAGCUGGUGGACACGUGAUUCUUGAUUAGUUCAAUUACUGCAUUUGAUCAAACAUGGCCCCACUCUUUGAAUAUUUAAUUUAAGAAAAAAACCCAACCAGAACACCUCAUAUUUCCUGACUGAAAUGCUUGCUUGCUGCGGGCUACUACAAUAUAUAAGAUAUAUCUAUACUGAAACCCUUUAUCUUUAAUUGGCAUUAUUAAAAGAUUUUGUAACCUUACACCGUGGAAAUACUGGAAAUGACAAUUUUAACUCAUUUAAAUGUAAAAGUUAAUUAACAAAUUUAUUUUGGAUAAUUUAUACAAAAUAUGAAUAAAUAUUGUAUUUCUAAAAUAUAAGUCGUUUAAAGUAUUGCAUGCGAUUAAUGAAUCAAUUAAUUUCGCUAAAAAUUAUAUCACUCCGUCUCAAAAUUUAAGUUGUCUAAGGUGAUAAUUUUAUCACAAAAUAUAAGUCAUUUUGAAUAUUUUAAGAAAUUACAAAUGAUUUUUUUUCUUUCAACUGUAUCCUUAUUUAUAUUAGAUAUAAUACAACGAUGUGAGAUAAAAGUAACAAUGAGAGAUAAAUGAUAAUUUGUUCAAAUUACUCUUGAUUUUGUUAGAAAUUUAGAAAAAUUAAUUGCAUUUUUAAUUCUCGUAUAAAAAUCUUAAACGACUUAUAUUUUGGACAAAUAGAGUAAUAAACUCAACAAUAAUUUGAUUUAUGAGAAUUAAUUUAAACGAUCAAAUUAUCCUUAAUCUCAAAAUCAAGUUAUUGUAUUAUGAAUAAAGUUAAAAUUGGAAAAAAGAUUAUUUGUUAAAUAUGUUUUGAAAUCAAAUAGUUUUAUGAGUUAAAAAGAUUAGAAAUAAUCAUUUUUUAAAUUCAUUUGGUGUUAAAUUGGGAUGAUAAAUUAUCAAAAAAAAAAAAAAAAUAUAUAUAUAUAUAUAUAUUUGACAAACAGAUUGAAAGCUAGUUCUUUUGAAAGUUUACUGAGAACACAAAUUACAAGCUCAUAGUAGUUAGUAGCUUGAUUAAGGAAACCCAUGAAGGACAAAAUGACAGUGGCAAAUGCCUUUGAGACCAAAAGGCUUCAGCUUCAAUUUUUUAUAACGUAACAUUUAAUAUCUUUCUCUUUAUGAUUUUUAAAUUAUUGUAAUUGCUAUCAACAGUAUAAAGUAUAGAAAAUUCAUUAUAUAUAAUAUUGAAUAAAAAAAAAAAAAGGGUGAGAAAUGUCAUUAUUUAUAGAAUUAAUUCACACAAACAUAAAUGCGAAGCUUCAUUCUACCUUUUAGGUGCUACCAUUCACUGAAGGGGAACGCACGCAUCAUUGAAGCUCAACGCCUGUCUUUUGCACUUUUCAAACUGAAUCAUUUCAUUCGUGAAAUAAAUUGAUGGAUAAAGGGCAAUUGCCAAACAAUAUUAACGGCAAAAACAAACGAGUCUUUUUUUUUUUUCUUUUUCUUUUCUUUUCAUUAGAAUAUUUAAAGUAUUGGUUAGAGGUAUAAUUAUAAAAUAUAAUUGAUCUCAUAAUUAAUCUUUUCCUUUUCUUAAUAAUAAUCAUUAUAGUCUUGCUUUUGGUGUUAUAGUUGUUUUUUUUUUUUAAUAAUAAAAAAAUAAUGUAUUAUGUCAAUCGAAUGUGAUCUGAUUGGUAUUUCCAUUCACCUUGAGAAGUUUCAAAUUUUAGAUAGUUAACUAUCAGAGUUAUCGUCAAUUUUGCUUAUAAAACAACAAGAGAGCUACCUAUAUUAUGCAGCCCACAAAAAUUCUUUAUAAUAAAUUAAAAAAAUAUUAUUUUAUUAAAAUUGAUAUAUUAUAUUUGUUAUUUAAUAGUUUGAACUAGAAAAAUAAGCUACUAAAAUUCACACAGAUUUUCUUAAAUAUAAAUUUUUACUAUGAAAAAUAGAAAUCAAAGUCAGAAAACAGAAAUGAUACAAAAUAGACACGUAAUCAUAUUUGAUGAGCAUUUCUCAUAAUACACGUUAGCUUGUUUAGCUUGUUUCGUGUAAAUUGAUGAUCCCAUUCUGUUUCGACAUAAAUGGUAUCAUUGGUUAUUAUAAACAAUUUCAAAAAUUUUUGAGCUACCACCAUAAAUACAACUUGUAUGAUUUCAAUUUUCAAAUUUAAAAGUUAUCUAAUAUCUACUUUAUCAAUGGACCUACACCUUUCCAAAUUUCUUGUUAAUCUUAUGCAUUAGAAAAUUUAGCCAAAUAAAAUUGAUAUUAUAUAUCAAUUUUAUUUAUUUUUCAAUUUAAAAUCACAAGUUUAAUUAUCGGAAAAUGCAUAUACUAUGAAGAAAAAAUUUUUAUAAUCAACUAUCCAAAAGAGAUUAGUUUACACCAAUAUAGUAGAAGAAAAAUAGUGGAAGAACACGUGACGAUUCUAAUAUGAUAUACAUAAACUAAAAAUAUUUUAAAGGAGUCUUCACUUAUAAUUUUGUUUUCAAAAUUUAAUACUUGUAAUUUGUUUUAACCAACUAUUUACUAUUUUUAAUUGAUUUUGUAAACUCAAAACUCCAUUUAUUUUUCAAAAAAUAAUUUAUUUUUAAAAAAUAUUUUUAAAAGCAAAACAUACUUGAAAAUUUGAAAUAACACAUUUUCUAUUGUUUGGUUACAAUAUUGAAAAAUUGUUAAAAAAUAUUAAAGCUUUUAUAAGAUCGAAAAAAUUUAUAAUUAUAAAAAGUUUCACAUUUUAAAAUUUUAUUAUUUAAUACAACAUAAAUAUUUAUUACGUGCUUGAUUGUAAUUUGUAUCUAAGACUUAAUCAUAUUUUAUGGACCAAAGAUAUAUUUUGUAUAGAAUCCAGAUAGAAAUAAGAGAUUAUAUUCCUAAAUCCUUCGCUAACUCUCAAUGAACUAGCAAUCACUCCAAAAUACUUAUUGAAUUGGUAUUUCAAAUAUUUAUCUAAUAAAGAUUCCACCUACAACUCUAAUGAAAAUUCUUUACCUCUGUAUAAAAGAGGGAUCAAACUCCCUACUCACACUAUUUAGGCAAUGUAAUACCAAUAUAUUUCAUUCAAUUAUAAGUAUUUAUUAUUUAUUUACUGACUUAAACAUAAAAGUGAUUGCAGGCCUAGAUGAGACCUUUAUUAUUCGUUUAUGUCUUGCAGAUUUCUACGGACCUCUCUUUAUUUUUCCUUGUUCAUUUAUGUCUUACAGAUUUUUACAUAGGCGCUAUGGAUAGAUUUUUCUAAGUCUAUCAUUAUUAAAUAUGAGAAACAAUAUUAUAAAAAAAGAUAAAUUACGAUAUCUAUCGAUGACCGUGGUCGUGAAAAUAAUGAUUAAUUAAUAAUAAAUAUGUAUUUAUAAGUUUAUAAUAAAUUUAUCAGUAUCUGAAAAAUAUUUUUCUCUUUUAGAAAAAGAAAGUUAUAAAAAUGAUUUAGUUCUCUCUUUCUUAAGGAAAAUAUCAUCUGUUGCUAAUUUUCUUGAACACUUCAAACAUUAAAAAAAAAUCUAAAAAAUAUUAUUCAGACAAGUUAUUUCUCGAAAUUAAUGGAAUCUCAAUAUUAAUUUAUUAUUAUUUUUUCCAUUGAGAAAAAAAUAUAUUAGAUUUAUUCCACUAUUGAGAAUAAAGGAAAUCAUUUAAAAUAAGAAAGCUCAAAAAGUUAUAGCCGUAAUACUAAUAGCAUUAUUUCAAAUUUGUUUGACAUGAUGUAAUCAACCGAAAUGAUAAUUACAUUAUAUGAGUAAUUACAUUAUUUGAUUAGACUUUUUUUAAUAGCGUAGUAUAAUUGAGACUACGUGUAUAAUCUUCAUCACUUAAAUUGAUGUAAUACUCAUUACAUGAAAAAACACACAUAUUGUCUAUUACAUCAAGUAAAUGGAAUACCGAUUAUAUUAAGUCAUCCCAAUCAAAACUCUACCAUUCUAGAUUAUUUAGGCUGUGUUGGGUAAUAAAGUUUUGAGUGGCUUUUAAAGUUUUGACUGGUCAAAACGUUACUUAAAAAGUUGUUUGGUAACAUAGCGUUUGGACUAGCUUUUAGAGAUUAGAAUAACGUUUUGUGAAAAGUUAACUCACGUAACGUUUAGCUUUUAGCGUUUCAUGAAAAACUACUCAAACAGCUAACAACUAAACACUAUUAAAAUAGCAAAUAGCUACCAAAAUAGCUAAUUUUGCCGAACAUAUCCUUAAUACUACCACUUCACCACCACAACCACUAUCACCGCUUCACCACCACAGCACCACCUUAACACCCACCACAACCACUGCCACAAUUACUACUCCACCACCACCACCACCACUACUGUUCCAUCACUACUUCAACCACCAUUACCGCUCUGCAACGACAACCAUCACCAUUGUUCUACCAUCACCACUACUACCACCAUCACUGCUCCAUCACUAUCACCUCAACUACCACCACCGCUGCUGCUGCCUCAACUCCUACCAUCAUCGCUCCACCACCACUAUCACCACCAUCGCUUUACCACCACCACCAUGUGGUGGUGAUAUGAUUAGUGGUGAUGGUGUGCUAAUUAUAUUACAUAUUUACAAAAAAAAAAAAAAAGAACGAUGAUUAUAUUCCUAAAUUUUCUUGAUAAUAUUAUCAAACAUAGUAAUGAAAUCUUAAUUAAAUUACGUUUUUCAUCACAUUACUUCUUUAAUUACAUUAUAUUGCCUUACAUCAAACCAGACAUAGCGUUAGCAUGUAUAUCCUCAUACACAUCAAAACUUGACUCUAAUAUCUAUGAGAAAAAUGCACAGUUAAGCCCUUAAAUUUAAUCAGUUUUUCCAUUAAACUUUUAUUUAUGAAUAUUAAGUUUUUAAACUUUUAUUUUUUUUAAAAAAAUUAAACUCUAUUUAACCGAGAUUUAAACUUUUAUUUUUUUAAAUUAAACUCUUAUUUAAUUAUGAGUUAAACAAUUAUAAUCCCAUAUGUUAUACGCGGUUGAUGGGAAAACUUAAUCGAAUUGUUAAAUCUCUUAAACUUUUAUUUUUUGAAAAUUAAGUUUUUAAAUUUGUACUUUUGUUAAAGUGAGUAUUUAAAUUAUUUCCAUUAUCAGUGAUUUGAAUUUAUUAUUUACUCACUAUCGAUUUAGAACUUAAUUUUAACUUAAAUAAAAAUUGAAGGAUUCAAUAUUGAUAAAUGAAAUUGCAGGAGCUUAGUAGACAAAACUUGAAAAAUAAGAGGCUUAAGUACAUCUUUUACCAAAUAUAAUCAAGAGUUAAUUUACACUCACACAUAGGUGAGGAUAGGAUUAGGAUAGAAGUGUGGUAAGUGCCCGCGAACUUUGAGUUAUCCAUAUCUAUAUCUGUUUAGAGCUUUAAAAUCAAUUGUAUCUAUGUUAAAUCCGUUUAAAUACCUAUAUCAAAAUCUGUUUAAAAUUUUACUGUCCGAUCCAUUCAAAAUCUAUUUUAAAUACUUGUAUUUGAUGUUCAUAAAAUUUAAACCAUUUAAACACGAACUUAUUUAAAAAAGUAUCUUCCAUUGAUAAUGGAUAAAGUAUCAAGGAUACUCACAGUAAAACUCAUUUAAUAUAAUGGAUAACAAGUAACGAAUAUUCAAACUCAUUUAGUAAAACUCCUGAAUUCAAACGACAGGAUUUGCAAGUGAAGAGAGAUGGAACCUAAAACGGUUGGCUAUGUACUCAAUGUAGAUUCACUAACAAAGUACAACAAAUGCAAAUACCAAGUAAAAAGGAACAAAUGGUUAAGAAUUCAGACAAAGUCCUAACUUCAAAGUUCAAAGUUCAAACCAUAAAAUCAUUUCAGUAAGGAGAAAUCAAACUAAAACUUUUGAAUGUUAAAAUUUCAACUUUAACCACAGAACCAAAACCCUGUUAGCUAUGUACUAACACAAAGUGCAAGAAACACCGAGUACGAACUCAAGCACAGUAAGAUUGAGCUGGAUUGCCCAUAACCCAAAAACACUAGAAUGUGUCUGGUGUGGAGGGGUCCAGAAGCCAACUUAAAUAGAAGCAGAGGGACAACACUGGAAAUUAUGAUUUAAAAAAAAAAAAAAAAAAAAAACUAAAAAGCAAAGAGAGAAACAGACAAGAAAUAACCGUUGUAGGGGUGGCUUUUUGGGUUGGAUGCCAGGCUGACGCUUGAGCCCCCCUCAGAUGAUUCAGCUCACAUGGUCUAUCUGUACACUCUGGGUCCCACCCUCCACUUUCUCUCUCUACUACCCUCUUUGGAUUAGUUGUCAAAUGAUCCUUUUAUGUUAUCAUAUUACACACUUUCAUCCUAUCUAUUUCAAAGUUACUAACUUUAGUUAAUGAGAUUUAAUCUGCCAAAUGCAUAAAUUAAUAUCUAAAUUUUAUAAGAAGAGUCUAGUAGCACCUUUAAACGUUGAAAACUUCUUUUCGUAAAAUUAUAGCUAGUAAAUGCCUUAAUUUAAAAAACCGUAUUUAUUAAAUACUUAAACGUAUAUAAUUAUGUUUAUUAAAUAUUUAUCGGAUGAUUUAAAAUAUAAAAAUUUUAUUAUUUAAUAAAUUAUAUUAAAAGUUAUAUAAAAUGUUACACUUAUUGAAUAUAUUAUUUAGUAAUUGUUGUAAAAUUAAAAACCCUGUUUUUUUUUUUUUCAAAUUAAGUUGAUACUUAGUCUCAACUGUGCUUUUAUCCAUAAUUUUAAAUAAUUUAUUUGUAGAAACCCUAAAAACCAUAUAUUUUUCGUUGACAUAUCAUAAAAAUUAAAAUUAUUAAUUUCAAACUGUUUAAAUACUGGUAAAAUGUAAAAUAAUGCAAAUGGUGACAGUUUUUGCAACCAACUUUUUUUCUUGGAAAUUCUCUGUAUUACAAUCGUCUUUUAUAAUAUUUUUAUUAAUAUUAUUUUGUUCCAAACAUGCCCUUGUCUUAUCCAAAUAAUGCCCCGUACUCUCCUGCCCUUCUCUCUAUUCUUAUAAGGGCAGUGGCCUGUGGAUCAAAGACCACAGUCCCAAGAGAGAAGAGAAAGACAAAGCAAUUAAGCUCACAAGAGAGAAGCUCUUCUAUUUUCUAGAGUAAGAAAGAAGAAAGAAGACGAUGGCCAAGGAAGUAAGUGAAGAAACGCAAACUACCCAUGCAAAGGAUUAUGUUGAUCCACCACCUGCGCCACUGAUCGACAUGGCUGAAAUCAAGCUCUGGUCUUUCUACAGAGCUUUAAUAGCUGAGUUCAUAGCCACUCUCCUUUUCCUUUACAUAACUGUAGCCACUGUAAUUGGCUACAAGAAACAAACUGAUCCAUGUGGUGGAGUUGGUCUUUUGGGCAUUGCAUGGGCCUUUGGUGGCAUGAUCUUUAUCCUUGUUUACUGCACUGCCGGUAUAUCUGGUAAGUAAAAAAAAAAGGAACUAUUUCUCUAAGUUACUAGUACCCAAAUGGGUAUUUAUUAAGUUUUAGGUUUCUGUGAAGUUUCUUUGUGGAUUUGGUCAUUCAACUUGAAAAAUAACAAAACCCAUUUGUUUUCAAGACCUGUUUAAUAAUGGGUUUUCCUUAUUUUGGUUACAGGUGGUCAUAUUAACCCAGCAGUGACCUUUGGGCUGUUUUUAGCAAGAAAGGUGUCACUAAUUCGAGCCUUGGCUUACAUGGUGGCUCAGUGUUUAGGUGCCAUCUGUGGUGUAGGGUUGGUCAAAGCUUUUAUGAAGAAUCCAUAUAAUCAUCUUGGUGGUGGUGCUAACUCUGUAAAUACCGGCUAUAGCAAAGGAACUGCUUUGGGUGCUGAGAUCAUCGGCACUUUUGUUCUAGUCUACACUGUUUUCUCUGCAACUGACCCCAAGAGAAGUGCACGUGACUCACACGUUCCUGUAUGUUAUCAACCAUAGCCUAGUAUAGCUCUCCUCUUUCAUGUCAAAGAGUUCAAAUCUAAACUUUGUUUUGGUUAUGUUUGGUUGCAGAUUUUGGCUCCACUUCCAAUUGGGUUUGCAGUUUUUAUGGUUCACUUGGCUACCAUACCCAUUACUGGUACUGGUAUUAACCCAGCGAGGAGCUUCGGUGCUGCUGUUAUUUACAACAAUGAUAAAGUCUGGGAUGAUCAUGUAAGCCUCUUGAUAGUCAACCAGAAACUUAUUUUUCUUGAUUUUAUGGUUGUUUUGAAGUUGGUGCUUUUUAACAUAAAACAUCAGAAGUAGGUUAAUUUUCAAGAAUAUGUUUAUCUUCUUGAUAAAAUAAUUUAAUUUCCUUUUUAAUUAUUUUUUGGAUGGGCAGUGGAUUUUCUGGGUUGGACCGUUUGUUGGAGCAAUUGCAGCAGCUGCAUACCAUCAAUACAUACUGAGAGCAGCAGCUAUCAAAGCUUUGGGAUCUUUCCGCAGCAACCCCACCAACUAAAAUGAAAGAAAGAACGAAAGAAAGAAAAACAAGAAAAAAAAAAAAAACCAAAGGCUUUGUGUAGCUAUCUUUAGUCUCUAGUCUUUCUUUUUCUCUAUUUGUUUGUUUGUUGUGUGUAAUGAGAGGAUUAUGAUGAUGACCCUUCUUUCUUCUUUCUUUUUUUACUUCAUUUUUUCUUUUCUUAUUGUUCUUUUGUAUCAUUGUUAAUGAGUAGUGCUGUUCUUUUUUCUUUCUUUUGAUCAUAUUUAAUUGCUUUGUGCAGUGUAGAACGUUCUCUCUCAACACUCUUUUAAUAAUUAGCCACUAAAUAAACUACCAGCUAACUAAAUUUUUAUCCUCUCGACCUUCAUUACAGCGGUGCUAGUGAAUUUGUGAGUAGCGGUUAGGCCAUCUUCGGGAACAGUUUUUUCAUAUGGC
RNAcentral lists this long non-coding RNA (25889 nucleotides) under Jatropha curcas. Its description in RNAcentral is "long non-coding RNA (JCUR_LNC002385)". The record is from RNAcentral. Lineage: Eukaryota; Viridiplantae; Streptophyta; Magnoliopsida; Malpighiales; Euphorbiaceae.